UAAUUAAUAUUCAAAAAGAUGGCUCAAAAAGUGGAAGCAGGGGGUGGCGCCGGAGGAGCUUCAUGGGAUGAUGGUGUCCACGAUGGCGUUAGAAAGGUGCAUGUAGGGCAAGGCCAAGAUGGUGUGUCAUCUAUCAACGUCGUGUAUGCGAAGGACUCUCAGGAUGUUGAAGGAGGUGAACACGGAAAGAAAACGUUACU
RNAcentral lists this small RNA (200 nucleotides) under Arabidopsis thaliana (thale cress). RNAcentral's name for it is "ATSL139990". Lineage: Eukaryota; Viridiplantae; Streptophyta; Magnoliopsida; Brassicales; Brassicaceae. The record is from RNAcentral.